CACGCUGUAAACGAUGAAAACUAAGUAUUGCCGCGAGGCAGUGCUGUAGCUAACGCAUUAAGUUUUCCGCCUGGGGAGUACGCUCGCAAGAGUGAAACUUAAAGGAAUUGACGGGGGCCCGCACAAGCAGUGGAGCAUGUGGUUUAAUUCGACGCUACGCGAAGAACCUUACCAAGGCUUGACAUAUAGAGGAAACGGCCAGAGAUGGUCGCCCCGCAAGGUCUCUAUACAGGUGG
This 236-nucleotide ribosomal RNA is filed under the name uncultured bacterium. RNAcentral describes it as "partial 16S ribosomal RNA". It matches the Rfam family "Bacterial small subunit ribosomal RNA", at positions 796 to 1041 of the family's 1533-position model. The record is from RNAcentral.